AAGUAUACAAAGAAAUUAUUAUGGAAUCAUAGCUAUAUAUUAAAUAGAGCCACUAAGAGCCAACCUAAAAAUAAUUCUAAUAAUAAAUUAUGUAUCUAAAAAACGAAGUGAAUUGAAAUAUCUUAAUAACUUCAGGAAAAAAAAUCAAAAGAGAUUUCUUAAGUAAUGUGAAUGAAAAAAGUAAAAUGGAGUGCAUAUCUGUUUGAAUAAAAGGGGAACCUUCCUCUAAGACUAAAUAUAAUAUAUAAGCGAUAGCGAAUAGUACCGUAAGGGAAAUGAUUGAAAUAGUAAUUUUAUAAGCAGCUCAAAGAUGGUUUAAAUAAACAAUGAGAGCGUACCUUUUGCAUAAUGGGUCAGCAAGUUAAUAUUCGAUGCGAGCAAUAAUGCAAAGAUAAAACAAUUAUGAUAUAAUAAUGUAGUAUCGAAAUUAGACCCGAAACCUAGUGAUCUUACCAUGAUCAGGGUUAUAAAAGUCCGAACGGGUUAUCGUUGUAAAGAUAUCCGAAGAAUCGUGGUAAGUUAGUGAAAGACAAUUCUGACUAGGAUAGCUGGUUUUCUGCGAAACCUAUAUAAGUAGGUAAUUUAAAUAGAAUAUCAGAAGGUACAGAAUUGUGAUCUCAUGCAAUUUGUGGACAUUGGGGGGUCGUGAAGACUCUAUCAGUGAGUAUUUGUUCUCGGAAGGACUAGAUAUGUAUAUUGAAUAAUCGGACAUAGUACGAUAAGGUUGUAUGUCUAAAGGGAAAUAGCCCAGAACAAGAGUUAAUAAGGUUCCAAAAUUUUUGUUAAGUGAAAUUAAGGCAGUAUUUAUCCCAAUCGGCCAGGGAAUAGGCUUAGAAGCGGCCAUUUUUUGAAGACCUCGUAACAGAGCACUGGUUUUAUAUUUUAUGGAUAAAAGCACCGAAAAUUUAACGGAUCUAAACAAAAUACCGACACCUUGUCCAUAUAUAUUAAUGUGUAUAUUAUAUAUUGUAUAUAUGGGGUAGCGGAACAUUGGGCGUGAAACAGCCAUUUUUAAUCCUUUAUAAGGAUUAAAUUGCCUAGAGUUUUUUUAUUAAUCUCUAGACUAUAUAAGCCCAAGUGAUAAUGCUGACAUGAGUAACGAUAAAGGAUCAUUAAUACAUAAAAUAUUAGAGAAUCCUCGCCUAAAGCUUAUGGAAUUUAUUAAAGUUACGGCCUCUAAGUUUAUACCGUACCUAAAUACUAACACAAGUGAGCAAGUAGAGAAUACGAAGGCGUUCGAGCUAACAAUCAUUAAGGAACUCGGCAAAUUGACUCUCGUAACUUCGGGAUAAGGUGGGCCAUUUCUUCUGAUUAAUAUCAGGUAAGAAAGAGGAGGCAUAGAAUGGUGUUGUACGACUGUUUAAUUAAAACAAAGCACGCUGCGAAGAAAUAAAUUCGAUGUAUUGAGUGUGAUCUCUGCCCGAUGGCGGCUGGUUAACUAAUUUGCUUAGUUAAAUAAAAUAAACUAGGCUUUGAUGGAAACCCCGUUCAAUGGCGGCCUUACCUAUAAGGGUCCUAAGGUAGCGUAAUACCUUGGCCGUUAAAUGCGGUCUUGCAUGAAUGAUGUAACGAUACAACAGCUGUCUCUAUGAUUGGCUCGGUGAAAUUGGAAUAACUGUGCAGAUACAGUUUACCUCUAGUUGGACGAGAAGACCCUAUGCAGCUUUACUGUUGCUAGUUACCGAGUAUGAUAUAAUGAGUUGUAGCGUAUAAGGUAAUUAAUAUAAAAUUGAAACACCUUUACUUCAUUUAUCAUAUUAUAUAAACCUUACAAGCAAAUUGCCAGUAAAAUCAAUAAAUAUGAUUACUGGUUGUAAUAAAUGAUAGGAACAAUUGCUAGGUGGCAGUUUAUGCGGGGCACAGAUCCCAUAAAGAGUACCUGGGAGUAUCCAAAGACAAUUUUUAGGUUGCAAUUUGCAAUUUAAUAUGAACUUUUAUUAGUAUAGAUUCAUAUUUUUAGUUUGCAAUAUGUGUUAUAUUAUAAUAUAACGCUAAUUUAAUUAUAAAUCCAUUUAAGUUGGAACUUUUUUUAAUUAGGUAAGAUUUUAACUAUAUUUAAAUAUAGAUGUAAUUAAAUGAUAGUUAUUUUACUUAUCAAGUUUAACGGCUUAAUCUUGCUUUACUGUUUGACUUACAUGUCUUUCAGUUGCGUAAGCGGGGCAUAUGAUCACAAGAUGCAGAAAGGAAAGGUCUUGGAUUAUUGAAAAAGUUACGCUAGGGAUAACAGGCUAAUCGCGCCAGAGAGUUCAAAUUGAGUGCGGGGUUUGGCACCUCGAUGUCGGCUUAGCUCAUCCACAUGAAUGUAGGAGUCAUGAAGGGUCCGACUGUUCGUCGAUUAAAGAGCUACACGAGCUGGGUUAAAUACGUUGUGAGACAGUAUGGUUUCUAUCCUCUAGAGGAAGUUGGAAUAAAUUAGGGAUAGCCCCUUGUACGAGAGGAGUUGGGUAUAUUAACCUAUGGUUUACCUGUUGUUUGUUUUGCCAUAUUA
RNAcentral lists this ribosomal RNA (2488 nucleotides) under Cladonia stipitata. RNAcentral's name for it is "LSU rRNA". It matches the Rfam family "Bacterial large subunit ribosomal RNA". Lineage: Eukaryota; Fungi; Ascomycota; Lecanoromycetes; Lecanorales; Cladoniaceae. The record is from RNAcentral.